RNAcentral lists this ribosomal RNA (324 nucleotides) under uncultured bacterium. RNAcentral's name for it is "bacterial SSU rRNA". It matches the Rfam family "Bacterial small subunit ribosomal RNA", at positions 28 to 345 of the family's 1533-position model. The record is from RNAcentral.
GAUGAACGCUGGCGGCGUGCCUAAUACAUGCAAGUCGAACGGAGAUCAGCGAUGGUCUUAGUGGCGCACGGGUGAGUAACGCGUGGAUAAUCUACCCGAUGGACCGGGAUAACAUUUCGAAAGGGGUGCUAAUACCGGAUAAGACCACGGCUUCUUAGGGGGCUGCGGUAAAAGGUGGGGACCUUCGGGCCUACCGUCAUCGGAUGAGUCCGCGUACCAUUAGCUAGUUGGUGGGGUAACGGCCUACCAAGGCUUCGAUCAGUAGCCGGCCUGAGAGGGUGGCCGGCCACACUGGGACUGAGACACGGCCCAGACUCCUACGGG